AUUGAACGCUGGCGGCAUGCUUUACACAUGCAAGUCGAACGGUAACAGGCCGCAAGGUGCUGACGAGUGGCGAACGGGUGAGUAAUGCAUCGGAACGUGCCCAGUCGUGGGGGAUAACGCAGCGAAAGCUGUGCUAAUACCGCAUACGAUCUAUGGAUGAAAGCGGGGGACCGCAAGGCCUCGCGCGAUUGGAGCGGCCGGUGUCAGAUUAGGUAGUUGGGGGGGUAAAGGAUCACCAAGCCAACGAUCUGUAGCUGGUCUGAGAGGACGACCAGCCACACUGGGACUGAGACACGGCCCAGACUCCUACGGGAGGCAGCAGUGGGGAAUUUUGGACAAUGGGCGCAAGCCUGAUCCAGCAAUGCCGCGUGCAGGAAGAAGGCCUUCGGGUUGUAAACUGCUUUUGUACGGAACGAAAAGGUUUGGGUUAAUACCCUGGGCCGAUGACGGUACCGUAAGAAUAAGCACCGGCUAACUACGUGCCAGCAGCCGCGGUAA
RNAcentral lists this ribosomal RNA (498 nucleotides) under uncultured bacterium. RNAcentral's name for it is "partial 16S ribosomal RNA". It matches the Rfam family "Bacterial small subunit ribosomal RNA", at positions 29 to 523 of the family's 1533-position model. The record is from RNAcentral.